GAAUGCUGACAUAAGUAACGAUAAAGCGGGUGAAAAGCCCGCUCGCCGGAAGACCAAGGGUUCCUGUCCAACGUUAAUCGGGGCAGGGUGAGUCGACCCCUAAGGCGAGGCCGAAAGGCGUAGUCGAUGGGAAACGGGUUAAUAUUCCCGUACUUGGUGUUACUGCGAAGGGGGGACGGAGAAGGCUAUGUUGGCCGGGCGACGGUUGUCCCGGUUUAAGCGUGUAGGUGUGUGUUCCAGGUAAAUCCGGUUCACUUUAACACUGAGGCGUGACGACGAGGCACUACGGUGCUGAAGCAACAAAUGCCCUGCUUCCAGGAAAAGCCUCUAAGCAUCAGGUAACAUCAAAUCGUACCCCAAACCGACACAGGUGGUCAGGUAGAGAAUACCAAGGCGCUUGAGAGAACUCGGGUGAAGGAACUAGGCAAAAUGGUGCCGUAACUUCGGGAGAAGGCACGCUGACACGUAGGUGAAGUGAUUUACUCAUGGAGCUGAAGUCAGUCGAAGAUACCAGCUGGCUGCAACUGUUUAUUAAAAACACAGCACUGUGCAAACACGAAAGUGGACGUAUACGGUGUGACGCCUGCCCGGUGCCGGAAGGUUAAUUGAUGGGGUCAGCGCAAGCGAAGCUCCUGAUCGAAGCCCCGGUAAACGGCGGCCGUAACUAUAACGGUCCUAAGGUAGCGAAAUUCCUUGUCGGGUAAGUUCCGACCUGCACGAAUGGCGUAAUGAUGGCCAGGCUGUCUCCACCCGAGACUCAGUGAAAUUGAACUCGCUGUGAAGAUGCAGUGUACCCGCGGCAAGACGGAAAGACCCCGUGAACCUUUACUAUAGCUUGACACUGAACAUUGAGCCUUGAUGUGUAGGAUAGGUGGGAGGCUUUGAAGCGUGGACGCCAGUCUGCGUGG
Molecule: ribosomal RNA, 908 nt
Filed under: Salmonella enterica
Lineage: Bacteria; Pseudomonadati; Pseudomonadota; Gammaproteobacteria; Enterobacterales; Enterobacteriaceae
Description: partial 23S ribosomal RNA
Rfam family: Bacterial large subunit ribosomal RNA
Source: RNAcentral